This 390-nucleotide ribosomal RNA is filed under the name Boana boans group sp. ABGD cluster 15. Its description in RNAcentral is "partial large subunit ribosomal RNA". It matches the Rfam family "Archaeal large subunit ribosomal RNA", at positions 1990 to 2498 of the family's 2987-position model. Lineage: Eukaryota; Metazoa; Chordata; Amphibia; Anura; Hylidae. The record is from RNAcentral.
UGAAAUUAUUCAACGGCCGCGGUAUCCUAACCGUGCGAAGGUAGCGUAAUCACUUGUUCUUUAAAUGAGGACUAGUAUGAAUGGCACCACGAGGGUUCUACUGUCUCCUUUUUUUAAUCAGUGAAACUAAUCUCCCCGUGAAGAAGCGGGGAUCUUUAUAUAAGACGAGAAGACCCUAUGGAGCUUUAAACAACCAACAUUUGCUACACCAUAACAUUUUCCCUAAAAGAAGUAUAGCAUUAUGAUUAUUAGUUUUCGAUUGGGGUGAUCACGGAGUAAAAUAUAACCUCCAUGCCGAAAGGGUUCUUACCCUGAGCAAAAAGCCACAACUUUAAGCACUAAAAAAUUAACGCAGUUUGACCCAAUAUUUUGAUCAACGAACCAAGUUAC